Panthera uncia (snow leopard) is the source of this 1154-nucleotide long non-coding RNA. RefSeq lists it as uncharacterized. Lineage: Eukaryota; Metazoa; Chordata; Mammalia; Carnivora; Felidae. The record is from RefSeq and is a predicted model, not a curated record. The transcript is spliced from 4 exons.
CAGAGCUUUAUAAAUUUGCAUUUAAUUGCUUUCCAGGUCCUUGCUGACCAAGCUUCCCGGGGUCAGGAACCGUUCCUUCAAACCCAGCGUCCCAGCACGUCGGAGGGACUCAGUAAAACAUGUUUAAAACCCCAGUGUCCCCCGUAUCAGGGCAAGGCACCCCCUCCCACGGGAUUGAGUGUACAGAAAUCUUCCACUUAGACACAGGCUUAAUUUCAAGGCCUGGAGCUUCACAAGCUUGCUGAGAGCCUGCGAUCCUGAGUGAAGAAUGUAUAAAAUACCAGGACCGUGUGAUGGGGAUAAUAUUUCUCGCUGCAGCCCAAGGUGGCAGAUCGGGAUACCGCUCUGUUAUGGCAGAAAAGCAGAUACACGUGGAAGGAAUGAUGGAGGCAGGAAACCACCGCACCCGUGGGUGACUGUUGGCUAAGGAGCAAGAAGAGGAAAUCUGGACCCACAGAGAGCCAAGAGAAGACCACUUGAGGACCCGGCGAGGAGGCAGCCAUCGGCAAGCCAAGGAGAGCGGCUGCAGGAGAAACCAGACCUGCCAACACCCUGGCCUUGGACUUGCAACCUCCAGAACUGAAGUACCGUCUGCAGUGUUUGGGGGUAAAGGAGGACCAUCUGCAACCAGCUCUCAGAUGAGAAGGGAGAAAGUGUGGAUGUGGGUGUCUGUGUACAUAACAGAAAGAGCUAAGAGGAAGAGCUAAAACAAACGUGAAGAGACACAGCGUUAAAAAAUAAAGUGCAGCUGAGUACGUUUUAAACGUCUCCUUGGCUUUCUGCGACCAUUGAUGAAUCAGGCAACAUCCAGUCUAACAGAAAGGCGCCCUGAGAAGCCGUCCAAAAAGACUUUUCUAGGCAGAAGGGAGCAAGGGCUCGUGUUCACCGGAAGCGGGGCUUGAGCUCACCUGAUGUGGGACUCGAACUCACAAACCAUGAGAUCAUGCCCUAUACCGAAGUCAGAUGCUUAACUGACUGAGCCACCCAGGCACCCCCUUUUGUCUUGUUUUUAACAACAGCUAACGUUCAAGGAAUCUGUGUGAAGGGUAUAGGGAGAUUCUUUUCAGUAAGCCUGAAAUUCUUUCAAACUAACUUCAAAGCCUUCCCUUGUCCUUCAGGAAAAACCCCCCUCACCAGCCCCGCCCCCUCCAGGG